UACAAUAAAUAGUUUAUAUAAAAAGUUCUCGUCCGAUCACUGAAGUUAAGCAGCAUUGGGCACGGUUAGUACUUGGAUGGGUGACCGCUUGGGAACACCGUGUGAUGUUGUCU
This 113-nucleotide ribosomal RNA is filed under the name Mycetomoellerius zeteki. Lineage: Eukaryota; Metazoa; Arthropoda; Insecta; Hymenoptera; Formicidae. The record is from RNAcentral.